Long non-coding RNA from Ipomoea triloba (trilobed morning glory), 471 nucleotides. RefSeq lists it as uncharacterized. The transcript has 2 exons. The record is from RefSeq and is a predicted model, not a curated record. Lineage: Eukaryota; Viridiplantae; Streptophyta; Magnoliopsida; Solanales; Convolvulaceae.
AUUCCCAUUCGUGAGUUCAAGAGGAGAGGAGAGAGAGUGAAUUCAUCUUCUUCACCAAUCUUCAAGAUCCAUAGCCAAAUUUCCUUCUCAACUCUCAAUUUGUUCGGAUUUAAGGUGAAAUUUGGGGAAAAUCAUCCAAGAUCACUUCUAAGGAAUUGUUGACCACUUUGAGGUAAGGAAUCCCUUAAGUUGGAGUAGUCACUUGAAAUUGGAUAAUUGAUUUUUUUGGUUGAUAUAUAUAUAUAUGUAUAAAUUGUUGGGAUGAUGAGAAGUGGUAGUUGAUAUGCCUAAAUAUCUAAGUUAGAAGUGCUAGUAUAUAGUAUAUAUAUAUACGUGUGAUGUAUGUAUAUGGAUAUGUAUGUAUCACAACAACAAGAUGUUGUAUGUUGAUGGAGUGUUGUUGGUUAAGAGCUUAUACUUGUGGAAAUAUUGGAGAAAAAUCAGGGUAGUCUCUGGCAGUAACUUCCGAAA